GGAGCCUGGCCCAGCAGGGACGUUGGUCCAGCGUGGCCCUCCCAGGCCAGCCCAGGGAUUUACGCUCCGCCCUGGCUCUGCAAGCCCUUUGUGAGUCUCUGGUGGCCAGCUCAGAAUGACCAAAGCAGGGCGGGCUUUCUAUGGUCAUUUCUUUACCGCACAUGACAUAAACCACCCGAGAGCCCCAGUGAACGGCAGGAGAAAUGAACAUCUUUGGGAAAGUUUGGUGGAAAACCAGCCCGUAGAGCCGUGAGAGACACAGGAUUCACUUUUGGCACUCUCGCCUGGCUCAGCCACCUGGAAUCAAGGAAGACAGCACAGUGCUGACCCCACGCUCCUGCCAAUGCUCACUUCCUCCCCUGGGGUCAUUUCCCAGGAGCAGAGCUGCAGGCCGGGGCCUCUGUCUGCCUGUGGUAGGCACCCACACUCAUUCUCAUCUGGUUCCUUGUAAGUCUUCUAUUGCAAAAUCUUCUCAGGACUUGGAGACAUGCUAUUCUCGGUUUCCCCAAUAACAAAAUGAAAGUGCAAAGGUGCCGUGUCAGCAGGUGGGCCGUGGACUUCGC
This 563-nucleotide long non-coding RNA is filed under the name Homo sapiens (human). RNAcentral's name for it is "non-protein coding lnc-ZADH2-2:1". The record is from RNAcentral. Lineage: Eukaryota; Metazoa; Chordata; Mammalia; Primates; Hominidae.